GCAUCCAUGGAUAAAUGGUUAAAGUGCCCAACUCAUAAUUGAAAAAUUCGUCGGUUCAAUUCCUACUAGAUGCA
Capsicum annuum is the source of this 74-nucleotide non-coding RNA. The record is from Rfam. NCBI's taxonomy places the organism in Eukaryota, Viridiplantae, Streptophyta, Magnoliopsida, Solanales, Solanaceae.